GAAUAUUCAUCAUGUAUGCUUUUCUAAUUAUAAUGGGGGGUGGGGGAUGAAGAGGAAACUUUUCGAGCCACACACCGGAAUUUACUUUGAGGAAAUUAAAGUGUUCAUAGCAAAUAAGUGUUUGAAUACUACAGCAUGGAAUAACAAAAUAGGACUUUGGUAUUGUUUUGUUGGAGUAGAGAAACCAAAGUAAAGAUGAAUAGGGACAGUUGGGGGCAUUGGAAUUUGAUAGUCAGAGGUGAAAUUCAUGGAUUUAUCAAAGACCAACAAAGGCGAAAGCAUUUGCCAAGGAUGUUUUCAUUGAUCAAGAACGAAAGUCAGGGGAUCGAAGACGAUUAGAUACCGUCGUAGUCUUGACCGUAAACGAUGCCGACUUGGGGGAGGUGCGAGAUGAGAAGCGCAUCACAACCAAAGGAGAAAUCAAAGUGUAUGGGUUCUGGGGGGAGUAUAGUCGCAAGGCCGAAACUUGAAGGAAUUGACGGAAGGGCACCACCAGGAGUGGAGCCUGCGGGCUUAAUUUGACUCAACACGGGAAAACUUACCAGGUCCGGACAUGAUGAGGAUUGACAGAUUGAGAGCACUUUUAAGAUUUCAUGGGAGGUGGUGCAUGGCCGUUCUUAGUUGGUGGAGUGAUUUGUCAGGUUAAUUCCGAUAACGAGCGAGACCCUGUGAUGACGGUAAUGAUUGAGUAUGUAAAUACGCGAGACGUUUCUUCAUCGACACCCCA
Molecule: ribosomal RNA, 727 nt
Filed under: uncultured eukaryote
Lineage: Eukaryota
Description: bacterial SSU rRNA
Rfam family: Eukaryotic small subunit ribosomal RNA
Source: RNAcentral